Pseudophryne corroboree (corroboree frog) is the source of this 264-nucleotide long non-coding RNA. RefSeq lists it as uncharacterized. The transcript has 4 exons. The record is from RefSeq and is a predicted model, not a curated record. NCBI's taxonomy places the organism in Eukaryota, Metazoa, Chordata, Amphibia, Anura, Myobatrachidae.
CAGGUGAUAAGAAAAGAAGGCUGGCACCACCGGAGGAGAGACAGGCACCAUCUAAGGCAGGCGCUUCCAGAAUAGGAGGGAAGAGGAAGCGGGACGCCGGACCACGCCUUGCCAGGGAUGAUAAGGACUGUCCCUGUGCCAAAAGAAGGCGAUUAUAAGAGGCGCGGGCCCCCAAGGCACCAGCUUCCGGAGCAGAUAAGACCAGCGGAAGCGUGAACACCACCUUGCCUUGGGGAGAGACCACCUGUUCCAGCUGCCUGCCCU